GCGCCCAAGGUCACACAGCUGGGAUGUGGCAGAGCUGGGGUUCCAGCUCCUGUUCCCAUUGCUGGACAGCUGCCACAUCUGGCACCCAAUUUAGGACCCCGCGGGGAGGCCCAAGCCCCGGGGGUGGCGGGGGAUCCUAGAGGAAAGUGGCAAGGCCAGGACCCUGGAGCAGAGCCAGAGUAGAAAACUGAGGCUCUGAGAGAUGAAGCUACUUGCCAAGGUCACGCAGCACAGUCACAUCCUACUGAACAUCAUCCUGUUCUCUGGGUGGAAUGUCACCAUCGCCCAGGUGGGGAUUUUUGUGUGUUUUGUUCACUGCUGUACACCCAGCCCCCAGCACAGCGCCUGUCCAGGACAAGUGCCCAGUAAACACUUGGGAAGCAAUGCAAGCGUCCUCCCAGCAGCUCCUGCAAACAGACCCCCGACCCAAGCCCUUCCUUCUGCCUCCACUGCCACCACUGCUGCUCAUCUCUGCUGGCACAGAAGUCUCUUCCCUGGUCUUCCAGAAAUCCCCUCUCCACACUCAGCCAGAGGGAGCUAUUAAAACUGUGGGCCAGCCCACAUCAGUCCACAGCAAAGUCCUCUCUAAGGGAUCUCUGUUGCUUGGAGAAUAAACCCUCGGAUUCCUUCCUUGGCUCUCGGGGCCUCCUCUCUGACCUCCCUCUGUCUCCUCUCCCAGCCUUCCUCCUCACUCACCCUCCAGCCAUGCUGGCUUCCUCCUUGCUCCUGAAACAGCCUGAGGCCCACACUGCCCCGGGCCCUUUGCACUGGCUGUUUCCUCUGCCUGGAACACUUCUCCUAGGCAUCCACAGGGCUCCCUCCCACAACUCCUUCGGGUGCCCACAUGGGAAGCCAUCCCUGACCACCCCCCCGACUUCCUUCUGAGCAAGGUAGGGUCUUUCUACCUAGUCAUGAGGGCAGGGAUUUUUGUCUGUUGUGUUCUCUGUGUGCCCCCAGUGCCAUCCCAGUGCCUGGCAGAUGGUAAGUGCUCGACACACAUUGGCUGACUGCCUGAAUGAACAACUCUAUGAGCCGAUGGCAGAUAAGGACACUGAGGUCCUCUGGGGUAGGUGACCAGCCCAAGGCCACACAGCUGGUCUGAGAUUAGGCCAGGAGAGGAGCCCGGGUUGGUCACAUCCUGGAGUUGGCGUCUUGGAAACUGCAUCAGGAGAAUAACAAAGAUGAGACGCAGGCUCUAACAAGUGGAUACCAGUGACUCUCGCCCCGCCAGCCCCAGCCCUGCAGCCUUGGGCCCUUCCAGGAGUCAUGGUCUGCCUGCCUGGGGCAUUCCAGGCUUCGACCCAGGUCCUGCACUUUCUAUUUUGAGCCUCUUAGUCCUGAGGACUGUGUGUUCCCAGCAGGCGGCGCGGGCCAGAGGCUGAGCCUGGGUGUGGCUGUCACCCUAUCUGGGGCCAGAGACCCAGAUUCCCGGGCCCUUAACCUGUUGGCUGCUGAGGGCUCUGGCAUAAGCCCUGUUCCCUGCUUGAUUGUCUCCCCUUCAAGCCCCUGCCCUGGUAUCGUAUCGGCCCAUCUCACCUUGGAUUAUAUCCCUGUUUGGCCCCAUUUGAAUCCUGGCUCUGCCCCUUUCCAGCAAUGUGACCUUGGGCAAGUCACUUCAUCUCUCUGGGUCUCAGUUUCUUCAUCUGGGAAAUGGGGACAAUAAGAGUACCUGUCUCUGGCCAUGUGUGGUGACUCAUGCCUGUAACCCCAGCGCUUUGGGAAGCCGAGGCGAGAGAAUUGCUUGAGACCAGGAGUUUGAGAUCAGCCCUGGGCAACAUAGUGAGACCCCUGUCUCUACAAAAUUCUAAAAAAAUUAGCCGGGUGUGGUGGUGUGUGCCUGUAGUCCCAGCUAUUCUAGAGGCUGAGGCGGGAGGAUUGCUUGAGCCCAGGAGUUUGAGGCUGCAGUGAGCUAUGAUUAUGCCCCUGCACAUCAGCCUGGGUGAUAGAUUGAGGCCCCAUCUCUAAAAAUAACAAUACUAAUAAUAAAUAAAAAUGAAAAUGAGUACCUGU
Molecule: long non-coding RNA, 2010 nt
Filed under: Homo sapiens (human)
Lineage: Eukaryota; Metazoa; Chordata; Mammalia; Primates; Hominidae
Description: non-protein coding lnc-CEBPB-13:1
Source: RNAcentral